Oncorhynchus tshawytscha (Chinook salmon) is the source of this 518-nucleotide long non-coding RNA. The record is from Ensembl. Lineage: Eukaryota; Metazoa; Chordata; Actinopteri; Salmoniformes; Salmonidae.
GUCACCACAGCCAUGAGUGGACCAUGCUUUCACCAGGCACGUUCACAGGGGAAGGACCUGCGUUCCACCGCUUAUCUGAAAUAAUUCUAAUUCUCCGGUUGGAACGUUAUUCAAGAUAUAUGUAAACAACAUUCUAAAGAUUGAUUCAGUACAUCGUUUGACAUGUUUCUACUGACUGUUACGGAACUUUGGACAUUUCAUCACGUUAUAGUGGACGAGCUUUGUGACUUUGGAAUUGUUUACCAAACGCACUAACCAAAGUAGCUAAUUGGACAUAAAUAACGGACAUUUUCGAACAAAUCAAGCAUUUAUUGUGGACCUGGGAUUUCUAGGACUGCAUUCUGAUGAAGUUCAUCAAAGCCCUAUCUGUUACACGGAGUGGAACAGGGGAACCCAAGAGAAGACUCAGAUGAGGAAACUGGGAUGAAGCAAACAAGGAAAUGGCUUCCUGAAAUCCCUCAAGCAGCUGAUUGGUCGACUCCAGGGCUAAUUGGAGAGCUGACCCCGCCCCCUCGUCA